UAAUGCCUUAUUAUUAUGCCUGUAUUCUGUGAAGGAAAGCAGUCUCGUCUGCCAUUUGGUCACAACGGUGCAAGGAGCAGUGGACCCCUGGAUGUAAUAAACAUGCCGAUGUCUGUGGGCCAACGGAGAUUGGAGGAUCCAGAUCCUACUGCGUGAGAGACUGCCAGUGAUACCAGGUCAGCUGUUUCUACACAACACUCAGUUCAGCUACAUUGUUGCUGGCACUGCACCAUUGAACAGCGAGGGAUGUUCAUCACUACCAAGUAACUUUUGCAACUUUCCUAUUUUUUCGGGAAUACCGCCGCUGCCCCCGGGCCAUGCCUCUAUAAUGAGAAGAUCACCUGGGUGAAGAUGACGAUGCAACAUCGACAUGUCGAAGUACCCAGCGAAUGUGACGACAAAACUACUAAAUGGAUUUUGAUCAACAGACAACCUGGAUAGGCAACUUUUUAAAAAUCCUAGAAUCACUACCAGAAAACUUUUUAGCUCUAAGUUUUAUUUUAACAGUUACUAGAAAAUAAAACCGAGAGCAUGUUAAAUAAAACAAACCAACACCUAUCCCAAAAGAAAUGGUAGAAACAUAAUCAACAAAAUAUAUCAUACAGGUUACCAGAUAAGGCAAGUAAUAAUGAAAAAUAAUUUAUCUAUCUUUUA
Plutella xylostella (diamondback moth) is the source of this 654-nucleotide non-coding RNA. The record is from RefSeq and is a predicted model, not a curated record. NCBI's taxonomy places the organism in Eukaryota, Metazoa, Arthropoda, Insecta, Lepidoptera, Plutellidae.